This 1975-nucleotide ribosomal RNA is filed under the name human gut metagenome. RNAcentral describes it as "bacterial LSU rRNA". It matches the Rfam family "Bacterial large subunit ribosomal RNA", at positions 3 to 1977 of the family's 2925-position model. The record is from RNAcentral.
UUAAGUUAUUAAGGGCGCACGGUGGAUGCCUUGGCACUAGAAGCCGAUGAAGGACGUUACUAACGACGAUAUGCUUUGGGUAGCUGUAAGUAAGCGUUGAUCCAGAGAUUUCCGAAUGGGGGAACCCAGCACAAGUUAUGUUGUGUUAUCGACAAGUGAAUUCAUAGCUUGUCAGAAGGCAGACCCGGAGAACUGAAACAUCUUAGUACCCGGAGGAAGAGAAAGAAAAUUCGAUUCCCUGAGUAGCGGCGAGCGAAACGGGAAGAGCCCAAACCAAUAAGCUUGCUUAUUGGGGUUGUAGGACACUCUAUACGGAGUUACAAAGGAAUAUAUUAAACGAAUCAUCUGGAAAGUUGAAUCAAAGAAGGUAAUAAUCCUGUAGUUGAAAAUAUAUUCUCUCUUGAGUGGAUCCUGAGUACGACGGAGCACGUGAAAUUCCGUCGGAAUCUGGGAGGACCAUCUCCUAAGGCUAAAUACUCUCUAGUGACCGAUAGUGAACCAGUACCGUGAGGGAAAGGUGAAAAGCACCCCGGAAGGGGAGUGAAAGAGAACUUGAAACCGUGUGCUUACAAGUAGUCAGAGCCCGUUAAUGGGUGAUGGCGUGCCUUUUGUAGAAUGAACCGGCGAGUUACGAUCUGAUGCAAGGUUAAGCAGAAAAUGUGGAGCCGUAGCGAAAGCGAGUCUGAAUAGGGCGUAUAGUAUUUGGUCGUAGACCCGAAACCAGGUGAUCUACCCAUGGUCAGGUUGAAGUUCAGGUAACACUGAAUGGAGGACCGAACCGACUUACGUUGAAAAGUGAGCGGAUGAACUGUGGGUAGCGGAGAAAUUCCAAUCGAACUUGGAGAUAGCUGGUUCUCUCCGAAAUAGCUUUAGGGCUAGCCUCAAGUGAUGAUUAUUGGAGGUAGAGCACUGUUUGGACGAGGGGCCCCUCUCGGGUUACCGAAUUCAGACAAACUCCGAAUGCCAAUUAAUUUAACUUGGGAGUCAGAACAUGGGUGAUAAGGUCCGUGUUCGAAAGGGAAACAGCCCAGACCACCAGCUAAGGUCCCAAAAUAUAUGUUAAGUGGAAAAGGAUGUGGCGUUGCCCAGACAACUAGGAUGUUGGCUUAGAAGCAGCCAUCAUUUAAAGAGUGCGUAAUAGCUCACUAGUCGAGUGACACUGCGCCGAAAAUGUACCGGGGCUAAACAUAUUACCGAAGCUGUGGAUUGUCCUUUGGACAAUGGUAGGAGAGCGUUCUAAGGGCGUUGAAGCAUGAUCGCAAGGACAUGUGGAGCGCUUAGAAGUGAGAAUGCCGGUGUGAGUAGCGAAAGACGGGUGAGAAUCCCGUCCACCGAUUGACUAAGGUUUCCAGAGGAAGGCUCGUCCGCUCUGGGUUAGUCGGGUCCUAAGCUGAGGCCGACAGGCGUAGGCGAUGGAUAACAGGUUGAUAUUCCUGUACCACCUAUAAUCGUUUUAAUCGAUGGGGGGACGCAGUAGGAUAGGCGAAGCGUACGAUUGGAUUGUACGUCUAAGCAGUGAGAUUGAGUGUUAGGCAAAUCCGGCACUCUUAAGAUUGAGCUGUGAUGGGGAGAGGAAAUUGUUUCCUCGAGUCGUUGAUUUCACACUGCCGAGAAAAGCCUCUAGAUAGAGAUUAGGUGCCCGUACCGCAAACCGACACAGGUAGUCAAGAUGAGAAUUCUAAGGUGAGCGAGCGAACUCUCGUUAAGGAACUCGGCAAAAUGACCCCGUAACUUCGGGAGAAGGGGUGCUCUUUAGGGUGCAAGCCCAGAAGAGCCGCAGUGAAUAGGCCCAAGCGACUGUUUAUCAAAAACACAGGUCUCUGCUAAACCGUAAGGUGAUGUAUAGGGGCUGACGCCUGCCCGGUGCUGGAAGGUUAAGAGGAGUGGUUAGCUUCUGCGAAGCUACGAAUCGAAGCCCCAGUAAACGGCGGCCGUAACUAUAACGGUCCUAAGGUAGCGAAAUUCCUUGUCGGGU